AUACGGAGGAUCCGAGCGUUAUCCGGAUUUAUUGGGUUUAAAGGGUGCGCAGGCGGCCAUUUAAGUCAGCGGUUAAAUCGUGGGGCUCAACCCCAUUCUGCCGUUGAUACUGGGUGGCUUGAUUGCGGUCGAGGUUGGCGGAAUUCGUUGUGUAGCGGUGAAAUGCAUAGAUAUGACGAAGAACACCGAUUGCGUAGGCAGCUGACCAGACCGCAAAUGACGCUCAUGCUCGAAAGUGCGGGGAUCGAACAGGAUUAGAUACCCUGGUAGUCCGCACAGUAAACGAUGAAUACUUGUUUUCGGCGAUAUAAUGUCGGAGGCAAAGCGAAAGCGAUAAGUAUUCCACCUGGGGAGUACGCCGGCAACGGUGAAACUCAAAGGAAUUGACGGGG
This 392-nucleotide ribosomal RNA is filed under the name uncultured bacterium. RNAcentral's name for it is "partial 16S ribosomal RNA". It matches the Rfam family "Bacterial small subunit ribosomal RNA", at positions 523 to 918 of the family's 1533-position model. The record is from RNAcentral.